GUGGGGAAUCUUCCGCAAUGGACGAAAGUCUGACGGAGCAACGCCGCGUGAGUGAUGAAGGCCUUCGGGUUGUAAAGCUCUGUUAAUCGGGACGAAAGAGCGCUGUGCGAAUAGUGCAGCGAAGUGACGGUACCGGAAUAGAAAGCCACGGCUAACUACGUGCCAGCAGCCGCGGUAAUACGUAGGUGGCAAGCGUUGUCCGGAAUUAUUGGGCGUAAAGCGCGCGCAGGCGGAUCUGUAAGUCUGUCUUAAAAGUUCGGGGCUCAACCCCGUGAGGGGAUAGAAACUGCAGAUCUUGAGUAUCGGAGAGGAAAGUGGAAUUCCUAGUGUAGCGGUGAAAUGCGUAGAGAUUAGGAAGAACACCAGUGGCGAAGGCGACUUUCUGGACGAACACUGACGCUGAGGCGCGAAAGCCAGGGGAGCGAACGGGAUUAGAUACCCGGGUAGUCC
Molecule: ribosomal RNA, 450 nt
Filed under: uncultured bacterium
Lineage: Bacteria
Description: partial 16S ribosomal RNA
Rfam family: Bacterial small subunit ribosomal RNA
Source: RNAcentral